Molecule: ribosomal RNA, 253 nt
Filed under: uncultured bacterium
Lineage: Bacteria
Description: partial 16S ribosomal RNA
Rfam family: Bacterial small subunit ribosomal RNA
Source: RNAcentral
CACAGAGGGGGCAAGCGUUGUUCGGAAUUACUGGGCGUAAAGGGCGCGUAGGCGGCCUGCUAAGUCGAACGUGAAAUCCCUGGGCUCAACCCAGGAACUGCGUCCGAUACUGGUUGGCUUGAAUCCGGGAGAGGGAUGUGGAAUUCCAGGUGUAGCGGUGAAAUGCGUAGAUAUCUGGAGGAACACCGGUGGCGAAGGCGGCAUCCUGGACCGGUAUUGACGCUGAGGCGCGAAAGCCAGGGGAGCAAACGGG